RNAcentral lists this microRNA (22 nucleotides) under Medicago truncatula (barrel medic). RNAcentral's name for it is "mtr-miR2616". Lineage: Eukaryota; Viridiplantae; Streptophyta; Magnoliopsida; Fabales; Fabaceae. The record is from miRBase by way of RNAcentral.
AUUGGGUUUGGUUCGGGCGGAU